Molecule: long non-coding RNA, 543 nt
Organism: Nerophis lumbriciformis (worm pipefish)
Lineage: Eukaryota; Metazoa; Chordata; Actinopteri; Syngnathiformes; Syngnathidae
Source: RefSeq, a predicted model, not a curated record
AUGUAACUCUUACCUAAUGUUAUCCAUUCAUUCAUGUGUUACUCAUUUAUCAUUCUUACACCAUGCAGCGCUACAACAUUACACAACCCUUACACAAUGUGUUAUGGGUCACACUCCUGCUGCCUACACUGUUGAGUGGGCCACACCAACGGGCGUUCCCUCUCCGCUGCGGGCGUGCCUCCGCAAGAGAUCUGCAAUCAACACACCUGCCUUUUGAUGAGUGACCGGCCUUCAUAAGCCAGCGCGUCUUGAGAUCCGGUGCCAGAACCUUCCUCGUCGUCGAGUUGUGUGUCUCGUCUACCUGGACUCCCUUUUGGACUCACUCUUGCCUUCCUGGACUAAGACCUCGACCAUCCGCCUGCCCCCUGACGUCCGAGCCUGCUUUUCCCCUUUUGGACUUCUGCCUCGAUCUCAACACGCACACUCAACACCCUCUGGUGACCACGCUCAGAUAAUACUUACACAUAGUCGCACUACAUCUCUUUAAGCUAAUCACACACUGCACUCACAUACUGAGCUGUCAAUAAACACGCUGACAGCUAA